This 301-nucleotide ribosomal RNA is filed under the name uncultured bacterium. RNAcentral describes it as "partial 16S ribosomal RNA". It matches the Rfam family "Bacterial small subunit ribosomal RNA", at positions 509 to 809 of the family's 1533-position model. The record is from RNAcentral.
CAGCCGCCGCGGGAAUACGUAGGGUGCAAGCGUUAAUCGGAAUUACUGGGCGUAAAGCGUGCGCAGGCGGUUAUAUAAGACAGAUGUGAAAUCCCCGGGCUCAACCUGGGAACUGCAUUUGUGACUGUAUAGCUAGAGUACGGCAGAGGGGGAUGGAAUUCCGCGUGUAGCAGUGAAAUGCGUAGAUAUGCGGAGGAACACCGAUGGCGAAGGCAAUCCCCUGGGCCUGUACUGACGCUCAUGCACGAAAGCGUGGGGAGCAAACAGGAUUAGAUACCCGCGUAGUCCCUGUCUCUUAUAU